AUAUUUUGUUUUAUAUUUUACAAAAACUUAAUCAGCAAUGUCAAUUUGGCUUAACCAACCUUACCUUCAGGAAGCUACGCUAAUGAAAGAAGGGAUCAUUGAGACCUUAAUUUUAGAGAACAAGGGAUGCUGGAAGUUUCUUUUAAAGUCGUUCAAGAAACUAUGACACAUAUGUUUGAAGAGGAUAGAGUUGCUUACUCAUUAAUCUUGGCAAACGAAGAAAACAACACAACAGAAAAAGACGGGGAAGAUGACAGGUAGCGGCAGCGCGUAGGACAAAACUAUUCAUAAACAUUAGGACAUAAACACGACGAUUUCUUAUGCUAUCACCGUAUCAUGAAAGUUGAAA
Helianthus annuus (common sunflower) is the source of this 349-nucleotide long non-coding RNA. RefSeq lists it as uncharacterized. The record is from RefSeq and is a predicted model, not a curated record. Lineage: Eukaryota; Viridiplantae; Streptophyta; Magnoliopsida; Asterales; Asteraceae. The transcript is spliced from 3 exons.